This 500-nucleotide ribosomal RNA is filed under the name uncultured bacterium. RNAcentral's name for it is "partial 16S ribosomal RNA". It matches the Rfam family "Bacterial small subunit ribosomal RNA", at positions 30 to 523 of the family's 1533-position model. The record is from RNAcentral.
AUUGAACGCCGGCGGGAUGCUUUACACAUGCAAGUCGAACGGCAGCACGGACUUCGGUCUGGUGGCGAGUGGCGAACGGGUGAGUAAUACAUCGGAACGUGCCCAGUCGUGGGGGAUAACGUAGCGAAAGCUACGCUAAUACCGCAUACGAUCUAAGGAUGAAAGCGGGGGAUCGCAAGACCUCGCGCGAUUGGAGCGGCCGAUGGCAGAUUAGGUAGUUGGUAGGGUAAAGGCCUACCAAGCCGACGAUCUGUAGCUGGUCUGAGAGGAUGAUCAGCAACACUGGGGCUGAGACACGGCCCAGACUCCUACGGGAGGCAGCAGUGGGGAAUUUUGGACAAUGGGCGCAAGCCUGAUCCAGCCAUUCCGCGUGCAGGAUGAAAGCCUUCGGGUUGUAAACUGCUUUUGUACAGAACGAAAAGGCUCUGGUUAAUACCCGGGGCUCAUGACGGUACUGUAAGAAUAAGCACCGGCUAACUACGUGCCAGCCGCCGCAGUAA